RNAcentral lists this ribosomal RNA (497 nucleotides) under uncultured bacterium. RNAcentral's name for it is "partial 16S ribosomal RNA". It matches the Rfam family "Bacterial small subunit ribosomal RNA", at positions 28 to 507 of the family's 1533-position model. The record is from RNAcentral.
GAUGAACGCUGGCGGCGUGCCUAAUACAUGCAAGUCGAGCGAACAGACGAGGAGCUUGCUCCUCUGACGUUAGCGGCGGACGGGUGAGUAACACGUGGAUAACCUACCUAUAAGACUGGGAUAACUUCGGGAAACCGGAGCUAAUACCGGAUAAUAUAUUGAACCGCAUGGUUCAAUAGUGAAAGACGGUUUUGCUGUCACUUAUAGAUGGAUCCGCGCCGCAUUAGCUAGUUGGUAAGGUAACGGCUUACCACGGCGACGAUGCGUAGCCGACCUGAGAGGGUGAUCGGCCACACUGGAACUGAGACACGGCCCAGACUCCUACGGGAGGCAGCAGUAGGGAAUCUUCCGCAAUGGGCGAAAGCCUGACGGAGCAACGCCGCGUGAGUGAUGAAGGUCUUCGGAUCGUAAAACUCUGUUAUUAGGGAAGAACAAUUGUGUAAGUAACUAUGCACGUCUUGACGGUACCUAAUCAGAAAGCCACGGCUAACUACGUG